This 809-nucleotide small RNA is filed under the name Pan troglodytes (chimpanzee). Its description in RNAcentral is "retained intron". The record is from RNAcentral. Lineage: Eukaryota; Metazoa; Chordata; Mammalia; Primates; Hominidae.
CAGGAUUUCACCAUUUUGGCCAGGCUGGUCUCAAACUCCUGACCUCAAGUGAUCCGCCUGCCUUGGCCUCCCAAAGUGCUGGGAUUUCGAGCGUAAGCCACCAUGCCCAGCUGCAGUCUUCCAUUUUGAAUGUUAGAAGGAAGAGUCUGUUUGGGGCCACAUUAAAGGUUAAUCUUGACUCCUUGGCCAUAUUUUCCAAUAAUCAGUAUAGCAAUAAACACUUACCUGAAAUGGCACAAUCCCUGUAUGCCUCUUACACUUAAGACAAUUGCAGUCAGUUAGCUAUGUACAUCUGUGUAAUCCACUAUGAUUCUGGCUGUAGGUUCUUCCUGGAUUUGAGAACAUCCUUUUUGCUCACUCAAGCUGGUACACGUAUGCAGCCAUGCUCAGGAUAUAUAAACACUGGGACUUCAACAUCAUAGAUAAAGACACCAGCAGUAGUCGCCUCUCUUUCAGCAGUUACCCAGGGUUUUUGGAGUCUCUGGAUGAUUUUUACAUUCUUAGCAGUGGAUUGAUAUUGCUGCAGACCACAAACAGUGUGUUUAAUAAAACCCUGCUAAAGCAGGUAAUACCUGAGACUCUCCUGGCCUGGCAAAGAGUCCGUGUGGCCAAUAUGAUGGCAGAUAGUGGCAAGAGGUGGGCAGACAUCUUUUCAAAAUACAACUCUGGCACCUAUAACAAUCAAUACAUGGUUCUGGACCUGAAGAAAGUAAAGCUGAACCACAGUCUUGACAAAGGCACUCUGUACAUUGUGGAGCAAAUUCCUACAUAUGUAGAAUAUUCUGAACAAACUGAUGUUCUACGGAAAG